Bombus huntii is the source of this 1067-nucleotide long non-coding RNA. RefSeq lists it as uncharacterized. The record is from RefSeq and is a predicted model, not a curated record. The transcript has 3 exons. Lineage: Eukaryota; Metazoa; Arthropoda; Insecta; Hymenoptera; Apidae.
CAAUUUAUAAUCGUGUAUGAACUAUCGUUACGAGCCGGAGAAUUCUGCACUGCUCAGACUCUACAGUCGAGUAGAAGUUUUAAAGUCUUUCAGAUACUACAGAUGUGGUUGUACUGUCUUCAUUUGUUUGGUGCUUUUUGGAUAAUAAUACGUAUUUACGUUAGUACUUUUAAAGCUUUGUGUGAGGCUAGCGAUGUCGAUCGGUGAAAUCUUUGAUUACUUAUAUUCAUCCCGGACAAAAAACUUUGAGAAUUUACAUUACAAUGAGUCUAAAUCUAUGACUUCCAAUUUACUGGUGUUUUGGUCGUCGAUAAUUGUGGCAAGCUGUUUCCUCCAAUGUUUCGGCUGGACCUGGUCAUACUUCAUUCAGAUACUAGAAGUGUGGCCUCGCAUUUUCGGUUCUUUGGAUAUCGAUGAUGAUACUGACGAAGAACAUUAACACCAAAGUUCUUCACCUCAAGCUCAAAGCUGACUCGUUGUCAGGUAUUAGUUUGUGAGAUUCUUGUAAGCAUGAUUUUAUGAUUUUAGUUCGUUCAAUGUUCAAUGAUGACGAUGUCAGUGGACAUUAAAUUUUUGAAGAAAUAUUCGUCAUGUCGUAUUCAUCAUUUAAUAUUCGCAUAAGAGUUCACAAUUACUCGUGAGGUCAUGCGUUUUAAUUUCCAUACUUCAGUUUAAAUAAUGAUUCCUGUGCACGUUAAAUUGGAAAUUGAGCGCUCAUGGCACAUAGAAAUACGUGAUACAGAAAAACAUACAUAGACAAUUUACACUUGAAAAUAAUUAAUGUUUUUAUAUAAUUGUAAUUUUAUAAGGUUCUGAUGUGUACAUAAAUACUAUAGUUGAUUAUAAUUAAAGCGAUGUAAUGAAAAUGUUAAGCAUUUGGUUCGGCCCGUGGUAACGGGCUGUACAAAUGUAAUGCGUUAAAUAUCUCAAAACAUGUGAUAGAUAUUAACACAAAUUUUGAAUAUACAAUGAGGAAUAACAUUUGGAAUACACCCAUCAAUGUUAGACAAUGUAUAUAGCGAUUAAACAUAAACAUGUAUAUAGCGAAUAAAAUAACUUCUCUAUAA